CAUGACAAAACUUAUCUAGAGUAAUUAAGAUUGUGCCAGAGAUUAGUCAAACUCCUGUCUUUUGUUCAGGACCAUCUUUAGUGGUGAGAUAAAAUACUGCAAGUCUGAUCAAGGAAGUUGGUGUUUGAAUGAUGCAAUGUAAAGUAUUUACGACCGUAAGAUGCAGUAGC
Molecule: long non-coding RNA, 170 nt
Organism: Melospiza melodia melodia
Lineage: Eukaryota; Metazoa; Chordata; Aves; Passeriformes; Passerellidae
Exons: 3
Source: RefSeq, a predicted model, not a curated record